UACGAAGGGGGCUAGCGUUGCUCGGAAUCACUGGGCGUAAAGGGUGCGUAGGCGGGUCUUUAAGUCAGGGGUGAAAUCCUGGAGCUCAACUCCAGAACUGCCUUUGAUACUGAGGAUCUUGAGUUCGGGAGAGGUGAGUGGAACUGCGAGUGUAGAGGUGAAAUUCGUAGAUAUUCGCAAGAACACCAGUGGCGAAAGCGGCUCUCUGGCCCGGUUCUGACGCUGAGGCGCGAAAGCGUGGGGAGCAAACAGG
RNAcentral lists this ribosomal RNA (253 nucleotides) under uncultured bacterium. Its description in RNAcentral is "partial 16S ribosomal RNA". It matches the Rfam family "Bacterial small subunit ribosomal RNA", at positions 524 to 776 of the family's 1533-position model. The record is from RNAcentral.